GAUCUUGUUAGGUCCGCGCCUCCCGAAA
RNAcentral lists this small RNA (28 nucleotides) under Bombyx mori (domestic silkworm). RNAcentral describes it as "ovarian small RNA-16137". Lineage: Eukaryota; Metazoa; Arthropoda; Insecta; Lepidoptera; Bombycidae. The record is from RNAcentral.